GAACGCACAUUGCGCCCUUUCGUAUUCCAAAGGGCAUGCCUGUUCGAGCGUCAUUUGUACCCUCAAGCUUUGCUUGGUGUUGGGCGUUUUUGUCUCGGGUCCGCCCCGAGACUCGCCUUAAAAUCAUUGGCAGCCGGCCUACUGGUUUCGGAGCGCAGCACAUUUUUGCGCUUUGUCCAGUCGUGGUCUUGCGUCCAUGAAGCGAAUAUUUUCAACGUUUGACCUCGGAUCAGGUAGGGAUACCCGCUGAACUUAAG
This 257-nucleotide unclassified non-coding RNA is filed under the name uncultured Pleosporaceae. RNAcentral describes it as "sequence contains 5.8S rRNA gene". Lineage: Eukaryota; Fungi; Ascomycota; Dothideomycetes; Pleosporales; Pleosporaceae. The record is from RNAcentral.